RNAcentral lists this small nucleolar RNA (144 nucleotides) under Moschus moschiferus (Siberian musk deer). Its description in RNAcentral is "Small nucleolar RNA SNORD10 (ENSMMSG00000019510.1)". It matches the Rfam family "Small nucleolar RNA SNORD10". Lineage: Eukaryota; Metazoa; Chordata; Mammalia; Artiodactyla; Moschidae. The record is from Rfam by way of RNAcentral.
GCUCUGUGAUGAACCCCAUGCGUGUCAUCUGAGCCUGGCUUCCCUGUCAUCUCAGCCCAGGUAGUGUUCUACUUCCCAAGGCUGUUGUCUGGCCUGGAAAAGGGGGAUCUCCAGGCAAAGGAUCAACCUUUGUAGUCUGAGAGC